CCUACGGGAGGCUGCAGUGGGGGAUAUUGCACAAUGGGGGAAACCCUGAUGCAGCGACGCCGCGUGAGUGAAGAAGUAUUUCGGUAUGUAAAGCUCUAUCAGCAGGGAAGAAAAAAGACGGUACCUGACUAAGAAGCCCCGGCUAACUACGUGCCAGCAGCCGCGGUAAUACGUAGGGGGCAAGCGUUAUCCGGAUUUACUGGGUGUAAAGGGAGCGUAGACGGCAAUACAAGUCGGAAGUGAAAUCCCUCGGCUCAACUGAGGAACUGCAACCAAAACUAUUCUCCUUGAGUGUCGGAGAGGAAAGUGGAAUUCCUAGUGUAGCGGUGAAAUGCGUAGAUAUUAGGAGGAACACCAGUGGCGAAGGCGACUUUCUGGACGAUAACUGACGUUGAGGCACGAAAGUGUGGGGAGCAAACAGGAUUAGAUACCCUGGUAGUC
This 441-nucleotide ribosomal RNA is filed under the name uncultured bacterium. RNAcentral describes it as "partial 16S ribosomal RNA". It matches the Rfam family "Bacterial small subunit ribosomal RNA", at positions 338 to 795 of the family's 1533-position model. The record is from RNAcentral.